Molecule: ribosomal RNA, 442 nt
Filed under: uncultured bacterium
Lineage: Bacteria
Description: bacterial SSU rRNA
Rfam family: Bacterial small subunit ribosomal RNA
Source: RNAcentral
GUGGGGAAUCUUGCGCAAUGGCCGCAAGGCUGACGCAGCGACGCCGCGUGUGGGAUGACGGCCUUCGGGUUGUAAACCACUGUCGGGAGGAACGAAUACUCGGCUAGUCCGAGGGUGACGGUACCUCCAAAGGAAGCACCGGCUAACUCCGUGCCAGCAGCCGCGGUAAUACGGAGGGUGCGAGCGUUGUCCGGAAUCACUGGGCGUAAAGGGCGCGUAGGUGGCACGUUAAGUGGCUGGUGAAAUCCCGGGGCUCAACUCCGGGGCUGCCGGUCAGACUGGCGAGCUAGAGCACGGUAGGGGCAGAUGGAAUUCCCGGUGUAGCGGUGGAAUGCGUAGAUAUCGGGAAGAAUACCAGUGGCGAAGGCGUUCUGCUGGGCCGUUGCUGACACUGAGGCGCGACAGCGUGGGGAGCAAACAGGAUUAGAAACCCUAGUAGUCC